This 1778-nucleotide long non-coding RNA is filed under the name Apteryx haastii (Great spotted kiwi). Its description in RNAcentral is "lncRNA (ENSAHAG00000001578.1)". Lineage: Eukaryota; Metazoa; Chordata; Aves; Apterygiformes; Apterygidae. The record is from RNAcentral.
ACAAGUCCCUGCUGACCCCAAGCAUUUUUCUCUGAGCCGUGGGGGGCAGUGCUGGGGGCAGUCCAGCACGGCCAUCUCCCCCAGCCCCCUCCCAGACACACACCUCCGCUGCCCAGCACCAGCAGGCCCACAGCUGCUCUGCCCCUGGCUGCCCCGUGCCGCUGGGGCUCCUCAGCCCUGCGGAACGACGCGCCGGGGCCCAGCCCGGCCCCGCACACAGCAGCCCCUGCCUUGCCGCGUCCCAGCCCUGCCGGGCACAGCGUAAGGGCUGCCGAGCCCCGGGGCUGCCGCGGGCAGGGGGCUGGAGUUCCAGCGGUGACAGGGCCCUGCCCUGCCCUGCCCUGCCCUGCCCUCCCCUGGGGGCAGCAGGAUGCUGCCCACGGGCUCCAGCGCCCAUGGCCAUGCCCAGGGCCCCUGCGCUGGCGCCAGGGCCGGUACCAGCACAGGCCCCAGGGCUGGUCCCCCACGCCCCCCASGGCCCCYGGGYGCAGGGCAGCCAGCAGCCCUGUGGGGACCCUGCAGCAGAGCCCAGGCCUGGCGGGGCAGCGGCAGCACCCCGGGGCCCCGCAUUGCCUGGGCACAUGGAGACACGCUGCCCCGAAGCCCUGCGCUGCCCUGCGCUGCCCUGCGAUGCCGCCCACAACAUGGCGUCCAAACAAGGGGGAGGGGGAGGGGGCCUAGCACUGGCCUAUCAGGCACUGAGCCACAAGUGACCUCACAACCACAAACAGCAGCCAUGGGCCUAGCACAGGCCUAUCAGGCACUGAGCCACAAGUGACCUCACAAGCACAAAGAGCAAUAAUGUGUCUCCUUGUUGCCUGUCAUUUACAGAUGCACAAGUGCCCUAACAAUGUGCAUCAAAGGAAUUUGCUUGCUGCUUGCCCAUCUGGUUCUGAGGCAGCAGUGUCUUCACAUGCUUCAUCACAGCCAUGUGCCAUCUGCUGGCCUAUCAGACAGCAAGGCAAUAGUGACCUCACAAACAAAAACAGCAGCAAUGUGCCCACCACUGGCCUCUCAAUCCUCAAAGAAAAGUGACCUCACAGUCUGCACUGAAGCCAUGUGCCUGCUGCUGGCCUGUCAUGGACUGAGGCACACGAUCCCCAGAAGCACCAACAGCACUAACCUCCCUACCGCUGCUCUACCAGGUGCUCCUGCAGAAGGGAGCUCAGAACCACAAACAGCAGCAAUGGGCCUGCUCCCCAUUUAGGAGGCACUGAGACACAAGGCACCUCACCAUCAUCACCAAAGCUAUGGGCAUGCUGGUGGCCUACCAGCUGCAGAGGCACAACUCACCUCACAAGCAAAAAUGGCAUCAACGUGCUAAUGCUGCCCUAUCUCGAACCGAGACACAAGGGAUCUGAAAAGUGCAAACCUUCACAGAGGAGAAGCUCACCUGGGCCACUCUCACAUCCCUUGAUUACGCUGUUAUCACUCCGUACAGAACAGUCGUCUGCAAACGGCUUUCAUCUCCUGSCAAGACUCUCUCCAGSUCAUGGCACAGCUCCGCUCUGUCACCCUGUGCACAAAUCACAAAAGGGAACGAUUGGCCUUGCUUUUCCUUUAGUACCAUCAAGUCCVAGCUGGGAGCCUUUGCACUGCAGCACCUAAACAAUGACAGCAGGACACCACUUCCAUUUCUAGUGCAUUUCUAGGGACAGAGAUCAGCUGAGGGAGCAGCUGCACUGCAAAGGGUUGCUGACACUCUCAGAUCAGCUCAGCACUGCACCAGGCAUCAGCCUGAUGCCAGACCUCUGCUCUGCCACCUAGUCUACAAACAC